GCCUGAUGGAGGGGGAUAACUACUGGAAACGGUAGCUAAUACCGCAAACGUCGCAAGACCAAAGUGGGGGACCUUCGGGCCUCAUGCCAUCAGAUGUGCCCAGAUGGGAUUAGCUAGUAGGUGGGGUAACGGCUCACCUAGGCGACGAUCCCUAGCUGGUCUGAGAGGAUGACCAGCCACACUGGAACUGAGACACGGUCCAGACUCCUACGGGAGGCAGCAGUGGGGAAUAUUGCACAAUGGGCGCAAGCCUGAUGCAGCCAUGCCGCGUGUGUGAAGAAGGCCUUCGGGUUGUAAAGCACUUUCAGCGGGGAGGAAGGCGUUGAGGUUAAUAACCUUGGCGAUUGACGUUACCCGCAGAAGAAGCACCGGCUAACUCCGUGCCAGCAGCCGCGGUAAUACGGAGGGUGCAAGCGUUAAUCGGAAUUACUGGGCGUAAAGCGCACGCAGGCGGUCUGUCAAGUCGGAUGUGAAAUCCCCGGGCUCAACCUGGGAACUGCAUUCGAAACUGGCAGGCUAGAGUCUUGUAGAGGGGGGUAGAAUUCCAGGUGUAGCGGUGAAAUGCGUAGAGAUCUGGAGGAAUACCGGGUGGCGAAGGCGGCCCCCUGGACAAAGACUGACGCUCAGGUGCGAAAGCGUGGGGAGCAAACAGGAUUAGAUACCCUGGUAGUCCACGCCGUAACGAUGUCGAUUUGGAGGUUGUGCCCUUGAGGCGUGGCUUCCGGAGCUAACGCGUUAAAUCGACCGCCUGGGGGAGUACGGCCGCAAGGUUAAAACUCAAUGAUUGACGGGGGCCCGCACAAGCGGUGGGAGCAUGUGGUUUUAAUUUCGAUGCACGCGAAGAACCUUACCUGGUCUUGACAUCCACCAGAACUUUCCAGAGAUGCAUUGGUGCCUUUCGGGAACUGUGAGACAGGUGCUGCAGUGCUUGUCGUCAGCUCGUGUUUGUGAAAUGUUAGGGUUAAGUCCCGCAACCGAGCAGAAUCCUCUCAUCCAUUGUGGCCAGCGGGUCAGGCCGGGGACCUCAAAGGGAGACUGGCCAGAUGAUUAA
RNAcentral lists this ribosomal RNA (1051 nucleotides) under Klebsiella pneumoniae. RNAcentral describes it as "bacterial SSU rRNA". It matches the Rfam family "Bacterial small subunit ribosomal RNA", at positions 128 to 1162 of the family's 1533-position model. Lineage: Bacteria; Pseudomonadati; Pseudomonadota; Gammaproteobacteria; Enterobacterales; Enterobacteriaceae. The record is from RNAcentral.